RNAcentral lists this ribosomal RNA (451 nucleotides) under uncultured bacterium. RNAcentral's name for it is "bacterial SSU rRNA". It matches the Rfam family "Bacterial small subunit ribosomal RNA", at positions 64 to 507 of the family's 1533-position model. The record is from RNAcentral.
GAGCGGUAACAGGUGUAGCAAUACAUGCUGACGAGCGGCAAACGGGUGAGUAAUGCUUCGGAAUCUGCCCAAUGGUGGGGAAUAACCAGCCGAAAGGUUGGCUAAUACCGCAUGAGCCCUACGGGGGAAAGCAGGGGAUCGCAAGACCUUGCGCCGAUGGAUGAGCCGAAGUCGGAUUAGCUAGUUGGUAGGGUAACGGCCUACCAAGGCGACAAUCCGUAGCUGGUCUGAGAGGACGACCAGCCACACUGGGACUGAGACACGGCCCAGACUCCUACGGGAGGCAGCAGUGGGGAAUAUUGGACAAUGGGGGAAACCCUGAUCCAGCGACGCCGCGUGUGUGAAGAAGGCCUGCGGGUUGUAAAGCACUUUUAGUGGGGAUGAAAAGCUCANGGGCUAACACCUCUGAGUCUUGACCUAACCCACAGAAAAAGCACCGGCUAACUCUGUG